AACGCUGGCGGCGUGCCUAACACAUGCAAGUCGAACGCGAGAGGGGCUUCGGCCCUGAUUGAGUGGCAAACGGGUGAGUAACGCGUGGGUGACCUACCUUCGAGUGGGGGAUAACGUUUCGAAAGGAACGCUAAUACCGCAUGACAUCCUGCCUUUGGACAGGCGGAGAUCAAAGCCGGGGAUCGCAAGACCUGGCGCUUGGAGAGGGGCCCGCGUCCGAUUAGCUAGUUGGUGGGGUAACGGCUCACCAAGGCUUCGAUCGGUAGCCGGCCUGAGAGGGCGGACGGCCACACUGGGACUGAGACACGGCCCAGACUCCUACGGGAGGCAGCAGUGGGGAAUUGUUCGCAAUGGGCGCAAGCCUGACGACGCAACGCCGCGUGGAGGAUGAAGGUCUUCGGAUUGUAAACUCCUGUUGAUCGGGACGAACAUCCCUUGGGAUAACACCCUGAGGGACUGACGGUACCGGUUGAGGAAGC
Molecule: ribosomal RNA, 479 nt
Filed under: Acidobacteria bacterium UCL-010
Lineage: Bacteria; Pseudomonadati; Acidobacteriota
Description: bacterial SSU rRNA
Rfam family: Bacterial small subunit ribosomal RNA
Source: RNAcentral